Hemibagrus wyckioides is the source of this 573-nucleotide non-coding RNA. The record is from the annotation of a RefSeq genome assembly. Lineage: Eukaryota; Metazoa; Chordata; Actinopteri; Siluriformes; Bagridae.
AUGUUAGCUUCAGCUCCACUGCUGCUGCUGGCUCUCGCCCCCUAUGUGUUCUGUGCUACUGAGCUCAUCCAGCCAGACUCACUGCUUAUAAAGCCAGGAGAGACUUUAACCAUCACCUGUAAAGUGUCUGGAGCUUCUAUCACUGAUAGCAGCAGCCAUUUUGGAACAGCUUGGAUUCGACAACCUGCAGGAAAAGCUUUAGAAUGGAUAAAUUUAAUUUAUUAUAAUGGGGUUAUUCAACAAAAAGAUUCGCUCAAAGACAAGUUUGUCAUCUCUCGAGACACUUCCAGUAACACUGUGACCUUAGGGGGACAGAACAUGCAGACUGAAGACACAGCUGUGUAUUACUGCGCUCGUGAUCCACACAAUUCCUGCAGUCAGACACUGAUCCAGUCUGAUCCUGUGACCAUCAAACCUGAUCCGUCUCAUAAACUGACCUGCACAGCCUCUGGGUUUGACUUUGGUAGCUAUGAAAUGGCUUGGAUCAGACAGGCGCCUGGAAAAGGACUGGAAUGGGUUGCAUAUAUCUCAAAUGAUCUGGAUCAUUUGGAAACAGGUCUUUUCUGCCUCUAG